This is an RNA transcript of Brassica napus (rape), 2789 nucleotides long. It is a transcript of the gene named formin-like protein 13, with no coding region annotated. The transcript has 5 exons. The record is from RefSeq and is a predicted model, not a curated record. Lineage: Eukaryota; Viridiplantae; Streptophyta; Magnoliopsida; Brassicales; Brassicaceae.
AUAAAAUAUAAAUAUAUUAUAUGUAUCUCGCAGUUACACUGUUCAUUACAUUUUGUUUUUAACCGCUUCUUUUAGAUGAACCGUACUUGUCCCGCAGUAUUCGUUUUUCUACCAUAAACCGCACCGCACCACUCAAUCCGCUUGUCCCGCACCACUCAAUCCGCUGUUACCAUUCGGAACCAUAGAUUGGAGACUCAUUAUUUGGAUCUUGAGAUUGCUUUGUUGUUGGUUUUGAGUUUAGUAUAUAAACCAUUGGAGACUCUUUUUUUUAAAUUAGUCUCCGUUUGAAUAUUAUAAAUUUAUGUGUGGGUUUUGAGUUGAGUUAUUCUGGAUCUGAAUGAGUUCGGUUCUGAUGUAUAGGAACCUAAAAAUAUCUAAAUAACAAAUGUAUCUAAAAGUGGAUCUAAAAAGUGUCAGAAUAUUUGUACCAAAAAUAAUAAUAUUAUCUGAUUCGGUCCAAAUCUUUUGAAUACAAUCCAAAUUAUGAAAACCAAAUAUCAAUCUAUAAAAAUACGACAACCAUUACCCGCACGACAUGGAAAGGAAAGAGACACACCUUCUCUUUGUCCCUAAAGUUUCCAUUAUUUAGUUUGACCACAAUUGAAUAUUUUAGCUUCCCAUAUUAGCUUUGACCUUUUCCCUCUUCCAGGAAACCUACAACACACGACAUGGAACACCAUUUCACAUCAUUAUUAACACAUUCAAAAAGUCAACUUUCCGCUUCAGAUCUGGAAUCCUAACAAAGUGGUAAACGAGAAGGAGAAGGGGUUUAGGAGUUUGAUAAAAAAAAUGGACUUGCUUCGCAAAUUGUUCAACCGCAAAACUCCAGAUGGUUUACACGAGAUAUGCGACCAAGUGUUCGUCUUCGGCAGCUGCCUCUCCACCGAUUCUUUGGAAGAAGAGAACUACAAAACUUAUCUGACGGGAGCUGUCAACCAGCUACAAGAGCACUUCCCUGAUGCAUCCUCUCUUGUCUUUAACUUCCGUGAUGUGGUGGAUACUCGGAGUGUGAUGGCUGAUGUCUUGUCAGAACACGGCUUGACCGUAAUGGAUUAUCCUCGCCACUACCAAGGCUGCUCAUUAUUGCCUGUGAAAGUUAUGAAAAAAUUUCUUUGUUACUGUGACAGCUGGCUCUCACUCGGCCCAAGUAAAUUGAUACUAUUGCAUUGUGAACGAGGGGCUUGGCCGGUUCUAGCUUUCAUGCUAGCUGCACUCCUUAUUUACCGGAAGCAAUACAGUGAUGAGUACAAGACCUUGGAUAUGAUCUGCAAGAAGGCUCCCGUUGAGCUUAUGCAUUUGUUCUCGCCCCUGAACCCUAUUCCUUCUCAGCUUCGGUAUCUACAGUAUGUGUCGAGAAGGACUAUGGUCUCUGAAUGGCCUCCAACGGAAAGGGCUCUCACCGUGGAUUGUGUUAUGUUGAGAUGUCUUCCUGAUGUUAGUGGACAAGGAAGCUUUCUUCGCCCAGUCUUUAGAGUAUACGGUCAGGAUCCCCUUUUUGUAGAUGAUGAUAAAAAGAAGCCUGAGCUCUUGUACUCAAGUGCCAAGAAAGGGAAACAUCUUAAAAUCUACAAGCAGCUCUUCUCAAACAAGGUAGAACUAGUCAAGAUUGACGACAUCAACUGCCAUGUGCAAGGUGAUAUCGUGAUUGAAUGCCUCAGUAAUGACAUGGAGGUCAUGAUGUUUCGAGCGGUUUUCAACACAGCUUUUAUCAGAUCAAAUAUUUUGACGCUCAACCGUGAUGAGGUUGACACAUUAUGGGAUAUAAAAGAACAGUUUCCAAAGGGGUUCGGAGUUGAGAUUCUCUUCUCGGAUAUGGAUGAUGACUCGUCUGUUGAUUUGACGGAGAAAGUUGGUCUUCCAGUAGAAGCUUUUUCCAACGUUCAUGAGUUCUUCAAUCCAACUGACUGGGAUGAUGCUACUCGCAAUACGCGUCAGCAUUUAGCUAUUGCAAAUGGUGUCCAGGAAAUACCAGAUGGGAAGUCAAGCCCAGUACUACAAGGGUUAAGCCCUCCAAUAGGAGCUCCCAAUGAUGUGGCUUCCCUUCUUGGACAACCGGUGAAGUCACCUCCUCCAGUGUCUAAAUCAGACAAAACAACUGCAUUACCUCGACCACCACCACCACCACCUCCUCCUCCUCCUCCUCCUCCAGUGCAGCAUUCAGACCAGAAGACAGCCGCUAGAGUUUUCAUUCCUAUACCACCCCCAUCACCAGCUACAGCUGCCUCUCCUCCCCCUCCCCCUCCCCCUCCCCCUCCCCCAGCUCCUCAAACUACUCCACGGAUUCCUACCUCUUCUUCCCCUCCUACCUCUAUACCACACCCAACACUAGCUAUCUCUGCCUCUCCUCCUCCCCCUCCCCCUCCUCGUCCUCCUCUUCCAACACCUCCACGGCUUUAUACUUCUUCUACCACGUAAUGUUUAUCUCUUGAGAUCUUUAUUUUCAGCUUCAUCUUCAGUGUGUGUCAGAUUUUGUGUAUUCUAUUCAUGCUUUCUUCCGUGGGAUCAAUUGGCCUCUCAUACGGGGCAUGGACCCUCGGCCACUGGAUGCACCGUUGCGAAUAACAGAGAAAGAUCCGAAUGCCACUGGGAAGAUGAUGGAGUGCUUCUGAACUCUAUGGACAUUGACAUUGAUCUCUUCUAAACACUCAACUCUUUUACUUUCUUCUGCCUUUGAAUCUUAUUUUAAUGCAAAACCAAUAAAGCAAAGGUGUUGUUACAUAACAUAUAUAAUGCAUCAGCAAUAAACAGCUGUAUCAUGUUAUUAGAGAAUAUCACACAAUCUUCCAUUA